AUUGAACGCUGGCGGCAUGCUUUACACAUGCAAGUCGAACGGUAACAGGCCGCAAGGUGCUGACGAGUGGCGUACGGGUGAGUAAUGCAUCGGAACGUGCCCAGUCGUGGGGGAUAACUACUCGAAAGAGUAGCUAAUACCGCAUACGAUCUAUGGAUGAAAGCGGGGGACCGUAAGGCCUCGCGCGAUUGGAGCGGCCGAUGUCAGAUUAGGUAGUUGGUGGGGUAAAGGCUCACCAAGCCAACGAUCUGUAGCUGGUCUGAGAGGACGACCAGCCACACGGGGAAGGAGACGCGCCCCAGACCCCGAGGGGAGGCAGGGGUGGGAAAUUUAGGGGAAGGGGCGGAAGCGUAUACCAGCAAAGGGGCGGGCGGGAAAAAGGCCUUGGGGGUGUAAGCUGUUUUUGUACGAGAGAAAAAGGGUUUUGUUAAACGCCGGGGUAAUGAACGUACCGGGAAAAUAAGCCCCGGCUAACUCAGUG
This 481-nucleotide ribosomal RNA is filed under the name uncultured bacterium. Its description in RNAcentral is "partial 16S ribosomal RNA". It matches the Rfam family "Bacterial small subunit ribosomal RNA", at positions 29 to 507 of the family's 1533-position model. The record is from RNAcentral.